GUCGUGAGAUGUUGGGUUAAGUCCCGCAACGAGCGCAACCCUUGUCCCUAGUUGCUACGCAAGGGCACUCUAGGGAGACUGCCGGUGACAAACCGGAGGAAGGUGGGGAUGACGUCAAGUCCUCAUGGCCCUUAUGGGUAGGGCUUCACACGUCAUACAAUGGCCGGUACAGAGGGUUGCCAAAGCGCGAGCUGGAGCCAAUCCCAGAAAGCCGGUCGUAGUCCGGAUUGCAGUCUGCAACUCGACUGCAUGAAGUCGGAAUCGCUAGUAAUCGCGGAUCAGCAUGUCGCGGUGAAUACGUUCCCGGGUCUUGUACACACCGCCCGUCACACCAUGGGAGCGGGAUGUACCAGAAGUAGGUAGGCUAACCGCAAGGGGGCCGCUUACCACGGUGCGUUUCGUGACUGGGGUGAAGUCGUAACAAGGUAGCCGUAUCGGAAGGUGCGGCUGGAUCACCUCCUUUCUAGAGAUAACCCAUGUCUUCAAGUGUCCACUCUUGUCGGUUGUUGCUAUCUGGUAUCAGAGGUCAGGAAUCAGGCAUCAGAGAAGUCACCGCGGCGCGGGUUGGCUCCUCAUUCCUAAUACCGGAUAGCUGAUCCCCGAUUUGGGCCUGUAGCUCAGCUGGUUAGAGCACCGUCUUGAUAAGGCGGGGGUCGAUGGUUCGAAUCCAUCCAGACCCACCAAGGUCAGAAGACAGGAGUCAGACGACAGAAGACAGCAAGUUCGAAGGCGGGGCUGUAGCUCAGCUGGGAGAGCACCUGCUUUGCAAGCAGGGGGUCGUCGGUUCGAUCCCGAUCAGCUCCACCAGCUGCACAGUUGGGUUUGACUGACCUCUGUCCCCGGACUUCUGAAAUGCAAGCAGGGGGUCGCCGGUUCGAUCCCAUCCAGCUCCACCACUUUAGAAAGGCGGAGGCCAGAAUCAGAAAACCUAGUGCAGAGGGCAGAAGUAAACGUGGAGGUUUACUUCUGAUCUUUGGAUCGGUGCCGAGAAAUUCGGUUGUUCUUUAAAAAAAUGGAAGAAGUAAAGCGCACACGACGGAACAACGUCGUGUGUUGGGUUAGAUUGUAUCGAGCCAUUUUCUCCUAGUCCGAGAAAGUGGAAAUCGCAAACACCCGUGACGCGAAGCAGCAGUGCUUAGUGUUAUGGGGUCAAGCGACUAAGUGCAUGUGGUGGAUGCCUUGGCGAUCACAGGCGAUGAAGGACGUGGCAGCCUGCGAAAAGCUCCGGGGAGCUGGCAAACAAGCAUUGAUCCGGAGAUGU
This 1261-nucleotide small RNA is filed under the name uncultured beta proteobacterium. RNAcentral describes it as "bacterial SSU rRNA". The stretch from base 1 to 463 matches the Rfam family "Bacterial small subunit ribosomal RNA", at positions 1064 to 1533 of the family's 1533-position model. The record is from RNAcentral. Lineage: Bacteria; Pseudomonadati; Pseudomonadota; Betaproteobacteria.